CACUGCCGAGAAAAGCCUCUAGCUAGAAUAACGGUGCCCGUACCGCAAACCGACACAGGUAGUCAAGAUGAGAAUUCUAAGGUGAGCGAGCGAACUCUCGUUAAGGAACUCGGCAAAAUGACCCCGUAACUUCGGGAGAAGGGGUGCUCUUUGAGGUUCACGCUUCGAAGAGCCGCAGUGAAUAGGCCCAAGCGACUGUUUAUCAAAAACACAGGUCUCUGCUAAACCGUAAGGUGACGUAUAGGGGCUGACGCCUGCCCGGUGCUGGAAGGUUAAGAGGAGUGGUUAGCGCAAGCGAAGCUACGAAUCGAAGCCCCAGUAAACGGCGGCCGUAACUAUAACGGUCCUAAGGUAGCGAAAUUCCUUGUCGGGUAAGUUCCGACCCGCACGAAAGGCGUAACGAUUUGGGCACUGUCUCAACGAGAGACUCGGUGAAAUCAUAGUACCGGUGAAGAUGCCGGUUACCCGCGACAGGACGGAAAGACCCCGUGGAGCUUUACUGUAGCCUGAUAUUGAAAUUCGGUACAGUUUGUACAGGAUAGGUAGGAGCCUUAGAAGCGUGAGCGCUAGCUUACGUGGAGGCAUUGGUGGGAUACUACCCUAAUUGUAUUGGAUUUCUAACCCGCAGCACUUAUCGUGCUGGGAGACAGUGUCAGGCGGGCAGUUUGACUGGGGCGGUCGCCUCCUAAAGAGUAACGGAGGCGCUCAAAGGUUCCCUCAGAAUGGUUGGAAAUCAUUCAUAGAGUGUAAAGGCAUAAGGGAGCUUGACUGCGAGACCUACAAGUCGAGCAGGGUCGAAAGACGGACUUAGUGAUCCGGUGGUUCCGCAUGGAAGGGCCAUCGCUCAACGGAUAAAAGCUACCCCGGGGAUAACAGGCUUAUCUCCCCCAAGAGUUCACAUCGACGGGGAGGUUUGGCACCUCGAUGUCGGCUCAUCGCAUCCUGGGGCUGUAGUCGGUCCCAAGGGUUGGGCUGUUCGCCCAUUAAAGCGGUACGCGAGCUGGGUUCAGAACGUCGUGAGACAGUUCGGUCCCUAUCCGUCGUGGGCGUAGGAAAUUUGAGAGGAGCUGUCCUUAGUACGAGAGGACCGGGAUGGACAUACCUCUGGUGUACCAGUUGUCGUGCCAACGGCAUAGCUGGGUAGCUAUGUAUGGACGGGAUAAGUGCUGAAAGCAUCUAAGCAUGAAGCCCCCCUCGAGAUGAGAUUUCCCAACUUCGGUUAUAAGAUCCCUCAAAGAUGAUGAGGUGAAU
This 1251-nucleotide ribosomal RNA is filed under the name Staphylococcus pseudintermedius. RNAcentral's name for it is "partial 23S ribosomal RNA". It matches the Rfam family "Bacterial large subunit ribosomal RNA", at positions 1603 to 2857 of the family's 2925-position model. The record is from RNAcentral. Lineage: Bacteria; Bacillati; Bacillota; Bacilli; Caryophanales; Staphylococcaceae.